RNAcentral lists this unclassified non-coding RNA (382 nucleotides) under uncultured Ceratobasidiaceae. RNAcentral's name for it is "partial contains 5.8S ribosomal RNA, internal transcribed spacer 2, and large subunit ribosomal RNA". The stretch from base 1 to 102 matches the Rfam family "5.8S ribosomal RNA", at positions 53 to 154 of the family's 154-position model. The record is from RNAcentral. Lineage: Eukaryota; Fungi; Basidiomycota; Agaricomycetes; Cantharellales; Ceratobasidiaceae.
AUGCGAUAAGUAAUGUGAAUUGCAGAAUUCAGUGAAUCAUCGAAUCUUUGAACGCACCUUGCGCUCCUCGGUAUUCCUUGGAGCAUGCCUGUUUGAGUAUCAUGAGCAAAUCUCAAAGUCGAUCCUUUUGUUGAUUCAAUUGGUUUUGCUUUGGACUUGGAGGUCUUUGCAGAUUUCACCAUCUGCUCCUCUUAAAUGUAUUAGCUGGAUCUCAGUAUUUAUGCUUGGUUUCCACUCGGCGUGAUAAGUAUCACUCGCUGAGGACACUGGUAAAAAAGGUGGCCAGGAAAAUACUGAUCGAACCGCUUCUAACGGUCUAUUAACUUAGACAAUUACCCUUAAGUUUGAUCUCAAAUCAGGUAGGACUACCCGCUGAACUUAA